AGUGAGCGCUGGCGGUAGGCCUAACACAUGCAAGUCGAACGGCAGCACAGUAAGAGCUUGCUCUUACGGGUGGCGAGUGGCGGACGGGUGAGGAAUACAUCGGAAUCUACUUUUUCGUGGGGGAUAACGUAGGGAAACUUACGCUAAUACCGCAUACGACCUACGGGUGAAAGCAGAGGAUCUUCGGACCUUGCGCGAUUGAAUGAGCCGAUGUCGGAUUAGCUAGUUGGCGGGGUAAAGGCCCACCAAGGCGACGAUCCGUAGCUGGUCUGAGAGGAUGAUCAGCCACACUGGAACUGAGACACGGUCCAGACUCCUACGGGAGGCAGCAGUGGGGAAUAUUGGACAAUGGGCGCAAGCCUGAUCCAGCCAUACCGCGUGGGUGAAGAAGGCCUUCGGGUUGUAAAGCCCUUUUGUUGGGAAAGAAAAGCAGCAGGUUAAUACCCCGCUGUUCUGACGGUACCCAAAGAAUAAGCACCGGCUAACUUCGUG
RNAcentral lists this ribosomal RNA (492 nucleotides) under uncultured bacterium. Its description in RNAcentral is "partial 16S ribosomal RNA". It matches the Rfam family "Bacterial small subunit ribosomal RNA", at positions 29 to 507 of the family's 1533-position model. The record is from RNAcentral.